GGGGGAAGGAGAAGGUGGGGAGGGGCAGUGGGGAGGGGCAGGGGGGAGGCCGCUUCCCUCCGACCAAGGUGCUGUCUGGGCCCUUCGGCACCACGAGGGACAACACAGAGAGCUCCCUGUCUCAUCUGCACCAAGGAGAUGGCAGCCUUCCUUUCAAGGGUUGCCCGUAAUCAGCCCUCACACUGAAGCUGAGCCAGGAGAGCUGGGAACGCUCCGAUCCUUUCAGCUGGGAGUACCCCAGUCUCUCCUUGAGAAGCCCAGGUAUUUUACUGUAGAGGUUACCUUGAGGACUGAAAGUUAACACGGCGCCUGGAUUCCGCCGGAAAGAGACGAAGGUGCGAUGGCCGUUGGCAGCAGGCACGCUGCCCUGGGGAGGACGCAGGCGGCCCCGCCAGGCCGGGCCCACCGCUCGGCCGCGUUCCCCAAGGGACGCGCCGACCCGGUAAUGACGCUGCACUCUUCCGCUCAAAGCCCCCACGGCUCAGCCCUGACUUGGACAGGCAGGAUUGCCCAGGGCUGGGGCUCAGGCAGCCCCUCGCCCUGAGCCAGGCGAGGCCCCC
RNAcentral lists this long non-coding RNA (560 nucleotides) under Ovis aries (sheep). RNAcentral describes it as "lncRNA (ENSOARG00000026778.1)". The record is from RNAcentral. Lineage: Eukaryota; Metazoa; Chordata; Mammalia; Artiodactyla; Bovidae.